Molecule: ribosomal RNA, 624 nt
Filed under: Bacillus sp. mat883
Lineage: Bacteria; Bacillati; Bacillota; Bacilli; Caryophanales; Bacillaceae
Description: bacterial SSU rRNA
Rfam family: Bacterial small subunit ribosomal RNA
Source: RNAcentral
GUCGAGCGACUGAUUAGAAGCUUGCUUCUAUGACGUUAGCGGCGGACGGGUGAGUAACACGUGGGCAACCUGCCUGUAAGACUGGGAUAACUUCGGGAAACCGAAGCUAAUACCGGAUAGGAUCUUCUCCUUCAUGGGAGAUGAUUGAAAGAUGGUUUCGGCUAUCACUUACAGAUGGGCCCGCGGUGCAUUAGCUAGUUGGUGAGGUAACGGCUCACCAAGGCAACGAUGCAUAGCCGACCUGAGAGGGUGAUCGGCCACACUGGGACUGAGACACGGCCCAGACUCCUACGGGAGGCAGCAGUAGGGAAUCUUCCGCAAUGGACGAAAGUCUGACGGAGCAACGCCGCGUGAGUGAUGAAGGCUUUCGGGUCGUAAAACUCUGUUGUUAGGGAAGAACAAGUACGAGAGUAACUGCUCGUACCUUGACGGUACCUAACCAGAAAGCCACGGCUAACUACGUGCCAGCAGCCGCGGUAAUACGUAGGUGGCAAGCGUUAUCCGGAAUUAUUGGGCGUAAAGCGCGCGCAGGCGGUUUCUUAAGUCUGAUGUGAAAGCCCACGGCUCAACCGUGGAGGGUCAUUGGAAACUGGGGAACUUGAGUGCAGAAGAGAAAAGCGGAAU